RNAcentral lists this ribosomal RNA (378 nucleotides) under uncultured bacterium. RNAcentral describes it as "bacterial SSU rRNA". It matches the Rfam family "Bacterial small subunit ribosomal RNA", at positions 28 to 407 of the family's 1533-position model. The record is from RNAcentral.
GACGAACGCUGGCGGCGUGCCUAACACAUGCAAGUCGAACGGAGUUGUUCCUUCGGGGACAACUUAGUGGCGAACGGGUGAGUAACGCGUGAGAAACCUGCCUUUCAGUGGGGGACAACAGUUGGAAACGACUGCUAAUACCGCAUAAUGUUAUUUGGGGGCAUCCCUGAAUAACCAAAGAUUUAUUGCUGAAAGAUGGUCUCGCGUCUGAUUAGCUAGAUGGCGGGGUAACGGCCCACCAUGGCGACGAUCAGUAGCCGGUCUGAGAGGAUGAACGGCCACAUUGGGACUGAGAUACGGCCCAGACUCCUACGGGAGGCAGCAGUGGGGAAUAUUGGGCAAUGGGGGAAACCCUGACCCAGCAACGCCGCGUGAAGG